Long non-coding RNA from Solanum dulcamara, 1010 nucleotides. RefSeq lists it as uncharacterized. The record is from RefSeq and is a predicted model, not a curated record. NCBI's taxonomy places the organism in Eukaryota, Viridiplantae, Streptophyta, Magnoliopsida, Solanales, Solanaceae. The transcript has 5 exons.
UCUCUCUUUGAUCCCUUCCCCUAAACCCCGACCCCGACACCCAUCUCCACCUCGGCCAUAGCUCGCCAACGUCUCCGCCGUCGUCGUCCCUCCCUCUCUCUCAAGGGUACAAUCUAAUUAAAUAUUUCAAUAUUCGACGCCGCCAAGCCCACUGCCCCCAACCCCUCCAUCUCAGCCCUAAUUGAAAAAAAUUGAGGGACCGGUGCUCCUCCUCGUUCUCCUCCACGUGGCUAGUUGAGAUUUCGUUUGAAGACUACUUUUGAUUUGAACUAAACUAAGGUCAACUUCAAUCGAUUAUAGCUCUCAGCCUAUAAUUAAUUAGGUGGCUCAUAACCUAUCAAAUUAAAACGCUAUGAGUCUUCUUUCCAACGCCACCGAAUUUGCCUCAUUAUAAAUUCGGAGUGAAGAGUUAUGCCAUUUUACUGAGCAAUGUCCAUGCUAGGCUGCUAUGGUGGGAAUUAGGUCGAUGUGGCAGGAUUUGACGGGCCAGAAUGAAAAGGAGGCGCAAUUUUACUAUUUCUUUUUUCCCUUAAGCGCCAAAAUAGAUGAGGGUUAUUGCAGAAAGCCCCCAAGAGCAGCUCUAGGCUUGGAGAGCAGGGAAAAGAGAUUCCUAGCGCAAGGAAGGCUACAACCUCCAUAUUUCAGGCCCGUUUCCAUAGUUUAUCCCUCCGGAUGUCAGAGAUUGUGCUAUAAUUUUUCUACAACUGCUUGACGCCAGGUGUCACGUUCUGAAAUAUAUAUUGGAUCAGGUGUCAUGUUCCAACACAUAUAUUGGAUCGAGUCUCACGUUCUGACACAUAUAUUGGAUAGGGUAUCACUUUCUGAUACAUACUAACAGUUUGGGUAUGAAUUCCUUGAGAGAACCAUUGUAUGGCUAUCAUCUGUAAAUUGAUCUUGAUUAUAUAUAUAAUGAUAGAGAAACUGACCCGAUUAUAAUUGAGCAUGCCCAUCAUGUGUAAUAAUUGAUAUGAUGCUUCGAAGGUCCAAGUAUUACCAUAUUGAUUGUUGUA